This 6966-nucleotide unclassified non-coding RNA is filed under the name Mizuhopecten yessoensis (Yesso scallop). RNAcentral's name for it is "centrosomal protein of 128 kDa-like, transcript variant X2". The record is from RNAcentral. Lineage: Eukaryota; Metazoa; Mollusca; Bivalvia; Pectinida; Pectinidae.
UAUUGCGAUGGCGGCUGUUUUGAUAUGAGAACAAGUUCGGGCUCAUCAUUUUAUUAUAAUAUCGUGUAUUUUAUGCUACUGCAGAAUCCAUGGUAAAAUAAUUCCAACAAUUUAAUACAUGAACCCAGUUAGCCUCAACAAGGGCUUUUGUCAUGUCCUACAUCUCCUGUAUAGAAGCAAAUCGUAAUUCAAUUAUUCAUCACUGGUGGUCGAUAUCAAAACAAAGGUGUUUGCAAUUUGACACCUACACUCAACAUAGUUUAGUCAAAGUCUGUCGCUGAUUUCUGGGCAGGCCUUUAUUUUUUGGUAAUUAAGGCAUUUCGAUUCCAUUUUGUCCAUUAAUUAUUUACGAUAUGAAACAAUUUGGACGUUGUGUCGCCCGUUUGUGGCAAAUUGCCUCCAAACUUGAACGUGAUUGAACAUGUCAAAGAGCUCCUUACUGGUAGAGGAUUCCUAUGAACGACGUGACCUAGAAACACCGGGUUAACGGAUUUCUGUUUUACUUCACUAAAAUAUUCAGGAAAUGUAGCCAAAAUAGUAUCAAAAUGUGACGUUUUGUGAUUAGAUAUAGGAUUACUAUUACUGAUUUUGAAUUGGUGAGGAAUGAGGAAAUGUUCACAAGAAAAUUGAGGCUUAGCCUAGUGUAGGGUGAAGAACUUCAAACUUAAAAAUGGAUGACAGAGUUCAUCAAUUAACAGACAACUUACAGGGUACGACUCGGAACCUGCGGUCGUUGGAUCGUAUGCUUGGUACCUACAGAGAUGUAGGUCGGGAACAGAGAGGCGCCGUAGACAGGUUACGUGAUGACUUAAGGACAACACAGGAUGAACUCCAGCGAGAGAGGGUGAGGAGCCCGCUACACCACCGGGAUUAUGGGAGUGAUAGCGAGUAUGAAAUAUCACCGAUGGCAAAUAGACGACGGCGAAAGCGCCGGUCGACUGUAAGAUUUGCAGAUGAUAUGAACAGAGAGUUACAUGGACUACACAGAUCUUUUCGAGAUUUAUCUAACGACCAUUUUGAUCUUGAGACCAGCCUCAACAGGGAAACAGAGAGACGGGACAGAAACGACGGGGAGUCUAAGAGGACGAUGAGGGAGAUAUCGGACAACUUGAAACGUCUGCCUCACUCUGACCCUGUGGCCAUGCGUGUAGAGGAGAGACUCGCAGCCAUACAGAACGAGCUGCGGUCAGAAAGACAGUCGCUAAACAGAUAUGACGAACUGGUCAACCUCUCCACAGACCUUCGUCAGGCACUGAACACACAUCAGCAUUUACUGACGCAGCCCCAGCGACCAGCCAUGGACGACCGACUGCAGGCUCAGUAUAUACAGGCUGAGUCACAGAAAAACAGGAUUGAGUCAGAAUUAGACGCUGUUAAGAGGAAGCUGGACCAGACAGCAGGUGGCAAGGCAGCUCUAGAACAGCAGGUUGGUGACUUGCGGGCACAGCUGAACCGAAUGGAACAGGAUCGUGCUCGAAUGAAGAACCACCUGGAGGAGAGCCGCUAUGAGGAGGAAGUCCGGGACCGUCGCAAAAAACAGUCCUUGGAAGAGGACCGUGACCGAGUGCGUAGGUCCCUGGAGAAGGAGGUAGUGGACCUACGCGGACAGCUAUCCAGGUCGAUGGGUGCUCAUGGUGAGGUUGAUGAGUUACGUAGAGGGAUUGAUCGCAGUGAGCGGCAACGAGCCCAACUCUCGGACCACAUAGAGACAAUAACAAGAGACCUGGAGAACAGAGAGAAACAGACAGCCAAGCUUAUCACGCAGCUGAAGGAGACUUCAGAUAAGUUUGAGGAAGCAGACCGCCACAAGAGCCAGCUGAUGGCCCAGUAUGAGGACACACUAGGGCGUCUAAAAGAGUGCAGUAAAGAGCUUGAGAAAACUGUGACUGAGCUGCGGGGUACACAGGGUACUUUGUCCGAGGCAGAGAGAAAGAGAGAUGAGUUCAAGGGUCGUGCACAGGAAACCGUCAGACAAUGGAAGAUGAAGACAAAACAGCUUGAGAGAGAGGUUGACCGUCACAAACACGGAACCAACACGUUGAUGCAGAGGAAUGAACAGCUGGUGAAAGAGUUAGAGGGCAUGAGGCACCAACUACACCACCAGGGAGUGCAGAUGGACAACCUCAAACGUGAGCUGGGUGACGCCUUGGCGGUGAGAGCAGCCCAGGAUGAACAGAUCCGUCUGAAGGAUGUGGAGAUCAAUGAACUAAAGUCUGUGCGUAUGGACCUGGACCAUGAACUCCGAGACUCUCGUUCUGUCUGUGAUAGAAUGGAGAAUGAACUAAAUGCAGCCCAGACACGUGUAUCAACUCUAUCUGAGGAGAAGAACAGACUGGAGGAUAAACUGUCCUCUGUUGAAGCAGCACACCUUCUGUCACAGGACCAAGCUAAUCAACUACAGCAAGAACUUAAAGAAUUAAGCUCGGUGAAGGCAGAGUUUGCCUCUCAGUUGUCCCUGGCCAAUGGUAAAAUCCAUGACCUGAGACACAACUUUGUUGAGCUACAACACCGAGAGAAGGCGGCUAGAGAGGAGUUGAAAAUCUACCAGAGACAACUGGCAGAGGAACGAGAAUCGCACCACAAUACAGUUGAAAAUCUCAAACAAGAACUUAAUGAGGUCAAGGUGCGGGAAGCUCAUGUGAUGCAGGACAUACAGAGAAAGAUGAAGAGAGGACACGCAGAGUAUGAGGCAACCAUACAGGCUCUUAAGAUGGAAUUAGGAGAAGAGAAAUCCUCCUCCAAAAUAUCUAAACGUAAUGAAGAGAAGAUGCGUCAGGAUGUGGAGAGACUCACACACGAAGUAGAGAGAUCUGAAGAGGAGAGCUCCAACCUCUUAAGGAGACUUGAGCAUGCUCAUCAAGAAUUUCAGACCCAGACUCAAAUGGCAGAGAGUGAUAUGUCAAGGGUAAAGAAAUAUGAAGAUGAACUAUUUGCUCUGAAGAGUGAGCUGAAGAAGUCUAGGACUGACCAUGAUGGCCUCGUAUAUGAAAUGGUGACAGAGGUUGACACACUGAUGGAGCUAGUCGCUACAGGUUCCAUGGAGAAACGUCAGACAGUGACUGCUGUGAAGGGAGCUCCUAAUGGUCCAAGUGCCACCGUAGUUGAUAUCAAAAGUAAGAUGAAAUGGCUGCGUCGAGAGAUAAGGGACAGGAUCAAGUAUGAACAGAAGUUACGCAAAGACCUGCGAGAGGCUUUAACCUGUAACGACCAUGACCGCCAGUUCCUUCUUGCAGAACUUGCCAAAAGAGAAGAUGUCCUUGAUGAAUUGUCCAGUGCCAAGCAAGGGAGGAUCCUACAAAUGCCAUACCUUGGCAAGCUGUUACCUGAGCUGGCCUACAGAGAUCUGGAUAACGUGCAAGCCGUAGAGAAAUUACAGGAACACAUCCUUGAUUUGACAGAUGAAUUAGAAUUGAGGAAAAUACGAGAGGAAGAGAUCAUACGAGCCCAGGAAUCUGACAAACAACACAUCAUUGAAGAUUUACACGAACUCAGGACUGUACAAGAGGAGAAGGCUAGGAUAGAGGAUCGAUAUCUGCGUCUGUCUGAGACAAUGAGAGCCCUACAAGAUGAGAUAAAAUCUGCAAACAUAGGGGGAAACAAGGUGACAGAGUUUGAGCGUGAGAGGAAUGUUGGAAAUCUGCGAAAGUCUACAACGCCAAGGAAGAAGAACCAGAGAGUCCGGAUACAUGAGAGUUCGAAGCGUCCAAUCACUCCCCCGUCAAAGCUAAAGAAGGGCCAAACUCCUCCCAUGUCAUUGUCCGAGGAAGAAUUCAAAAGACGUUAUAUGUCUGAAAAAGACUGCUAGCAUUAUUAAACUUAAUACUAUAUCUCCUCAAACAAUGUAUUCUGUGAAACAGGACUGACCAGGGUUUUAUAGAAAUUGAACUGUUGAUUACUUUGUGGGCCAGAAGUACCGGUAAUCACCAAGUACCUCCACAAACAGCUUAUGGUCAAAGAUAGAUUACUUUGCCUUUGAGGACUUCAGGCCCACAUGAUUAAAAAUAAUUUCUUUCUAAUGUUGGUAUUGGGGCUUGUUAAGGUGUUCUAUUAUGUCUUGUACAGAUGUGUUUGAUGCCCUGUACAGAUGCGUUUGAUGCCCUGUACAGAUGUGUUUGAUGCCCGGUACAGAUGUGUUUGAUGCCCUGUACAGAUGUGUUUUAAGCCCUGUACAGAUGGGUUUGGUGCCCUGUACAGAUGUGUUUGAUGCCCUGUACAGAUUUGUUUGAUGCCCUGUACAGAUGUGUUUGAUGCCCUGUACAGAUAUGUUUGAUGCCCUGUUAGGUGUUGCUUGAUGACCUGUACAUGUGUUGUGUGAUGCCCUGUUAGGUAUUGUUUGAUGCCUUGUAUAUGUGUUGUGUGAUGCCUUGUACAGGUGUUGUAUGAUGCCUCGUACAGGUAUGAGGUCGUGUACAGGUGUUGUGUGAUGCCUUGUACAGGUAUGAUGUCGUGUACAGAUGUUGAGUGAUGCCCUGUACAGGUGUUGUUUGAUGCCCUGUACAGGUCUUGUGUGAUGCCUUGUACAGGUGUUGUAUGAUGCCUCGUACAGAUGUGUGAUGCCUUGUUGUAUGAUGCCUUGUACAGGUGUUGUGUGAUGCCUUGUACAGGUAUGAUGUCAUGUACAGGUGUUGUGUGAUGCCCUGUACAGGUAUGAUGUCAUGUACAUGUGUUGUAUGAUACCUUGUACAGGUAUGAUGUCAUGUAAGAUGUUGUGUGAUGCCUUUUUCAGGUACGAUGUCAUGUACAGGUGUUGUGUGAUGCCUCGUACAGGUAUGAUGUCGUGUUCAGGUGUUGUGUGAUGCCUUGUACAGGUAUGAUGUUGUGUACAGGUGUUGUGUGAUGCCCUGUACAGGUAUGGUGUCAUGUACAGGUGUUGUGUGAUGCCUUGUACAGGUAUGAUGUCAUGAACAGGUGUUGUGUGAUGCCUUGUACAGGUAUGAUGUUGUGUACAGAUGUUGAGUGAUGCCCUGUACAGGUGUUGUGUGAUGCCCUGUACAGGAGUUACAUUUGAUACACAGAUUCUGUAGUACUGUGGGGCAGUGUACAGUCUUCUCACAUACUCUAUAUUACCACAUUCCCAAGAAAUGUUAAGAUCUUUCAUUAUCAUUUCUAAGAUGUUAAGAUCUUCUACAUCAUUCUCAAGAUGUGUUUAUAUCCUACAUGACAUUCCUGAGAUAUGUUAAGAUCUUACACAAUAUUCUACGGAGAUGUCAAGAUAUUAUAUAACAUUCCAGAGAAAUGUCAAGAUCUCAUAUACCAGGCAAUUUUCCAGAGAGAUGUUAAGAUCUGAAUCAAAAAAAUUCAACAGGAGAUGUAUUUUCACAUUAACUGAUAAGUGACUAAUUCAGUUACUACUACUGUUACAAAUUAGGUAAUAUAUGAUAUUAAUAUGACAGAAUUCCUACUUAACAUUUGCUUUUAUGAGAAAAUGCUUUGGCUAGUUAUUUCACACUACCAUGAAACAUUCUAUUUGUUGCUUCAUAUUUCACUAAAACUAGAAAGAAAGAUGAAGACAAACCAAUGAAAGCCAAACACAUGUAAGUAGUGUAGUAGCUGUAUGAUAAACUGUAAUCUUAGCCAGGUCGCCAGUAGAGAAACCUUAGCCACGUCACUUUCACUUGAAGAAAAACUUUAAGCCAGGCCCUCUGUAGGCCUGUAUAGAUAGCUGUGUGUAAAUGUCCGUUAUAUGCCAUAUAUACAUGAAAUGUAGAUACGUUAACUAUUUAUUUUAGUGCUGAUUUGAAUGGGUGAAAUAUGUGAAUGUUUGUUGAUUGUGAUUAUUUGUUAGUGUCCUCAAGGUGAAAGAUCAGUUUCACUUUGACAUCAGAUGAAAUAUACUACAUUUCUGUACAUUCUAAGACAUUGGAAUUCUUCUAGCACAAAUUCACUAAAUUGUUGCCAUUAUACAGGGCUAUUAGUUGACCCUUCUAAAGUCAAAUCACUAUGUCCUUGAAAUUUGAAAAGUCAAAACCUGUUAAAUAGACACAUGCUUCAGAACCCACGAGUCAAAACUCAUUUCGGGAAAUCAAAAACAUACUCUCAAGGGUCUACCAAAAGCCUUAAAUCAUAUAUAAAAGUGGAAAACUUUUGUAUUUUAUCAGUAAAAUCUAACACUUCCUCAUACCCACCUCUACAAUAUCUGGUAUUGGUUAGUGGUUGGGUGAAUAUUGCAAGUUAACCCUUUCACCACUGUAGACCAUAAUGGACUCACCCUGAUAAAUGUAUGGUAGAGUCUACUUAAGUUACCUAGGGGUGAAAGAGUUGAUAAACAUGGUUUUUACUUAUCCCUUAAUGUUCUUUUAAAGGAAUAAGUGAGCAAGGAACAAGGAUGUAAGAUCUGUUAUUAAAACAGUGGAGCAUUUAACGUUUUGCAAGUUGGUUAUGUAAUGCCAAUGUUGUUUUGUAUUUAUUUUCACGAAUUACUGGGUAGUUGUAGGUGUUUAUGUAUAGGAUCUGAGUGAUCACAAAGUAUUGUGAACUGGAGUGCCUAUUACAUAUAUUUGUAAUACAAACUGAUUUAUAUGACGGGACCUGUGAUAUGUAUAUGAAAUUUGUUGUGCAAAAAUCUUUAAAGGUGUAUAUUGUCUCAUUGUUGGCAAUAUUUUAAGAACCGUUCCAGUAUUUUUGGUUAAAUGCACAUCUUGUUUACUUUUAUGUCUUAUAAUUACAAACAAGCGCUUCUAACAUUCUGUAUUUACAAUAUUUCCUUUUUAAAAUUUUAGAAUAAUCACCAGAGAUUUAUGUAAGAACAAGAUGAUUUGUACUUUGUUCAAAAUGAACGGAAUCUCUUAGAAGUGUAUUUUAUAACUCUUUACUUUCCUCUGUGAUGAUGAAUUCUACACAUCAAUGAUCUAAGUUACUUUGCAUUCCUCUACAAAUCUUUAUUGUGAAUUUCUACAUUGUAUAUUAAAUCAAAUUUUAUACACAAAUACAUAAAUAAAACCUAUAUAUUGUACUUCUUGUUUAUUG